AGAGUUUGAUCAUGGCUCAGGACGAACGCCUGGCGGCGGUGCCUUAAUACAUGCAAGUCGAGCGCGGCAAGCCAGGAUGAUCCUCUUCCGAAGUGAAUCCUGUGGAACGAGCGGCCGGACGGGUGAGUAACACGUUGGGCAAACCCUGCCUGUAAGACUGGGGAUAACUCGCGGAAACGCCGAGCUAAUAACCCGGAUGAUACUUCAUCCCGCCAUGCCAAGGAGUUGAAAGAUGGCGCAAGCUAUCACUUACAGAUGGGCCCGCGGCGCAUUAGCUUAGUUGGUGGGGUAACGGCCUACCAAGGCAACGAUGCGUAGCCGACCUUGAGAGGGUGAUCGGCCACAUUGGGACUGAGACACGGCCCAAACUCCUACGGGAGGCAGCACGUAGGGAAUCUUCCGCAAUGGACGAAAGUCUGACGGAGCAACCGCCGCGUGAGUGAUGAAGGUCUUCGGAUCUGUAAAACUCCGUUGUCAUGGGAAGAACAAGUACCGUGUGAAUAAGGCGGUACCUUGACGGUACCUGACCAGAAAGCCCCGGCUAACUACGUGCCAGCAGCCGCGGUAAUACGUAGGGGGCAAGCGUUGUCCGGAAUUAUUGGGCGUAAAGCGCGCGCAGGCGGUCCUUUAAGUCUGAUGUGAAAGCCCACGGCUUAACCGUGGAGGGUCAUUGGAAACUGGGGGACUUGAGUGCAGAAGAGGAGAGUGGAAUUCCAUGUGUAGCGGUGAAAUGCGCAGAGAUAUGGAGGAACACCAGUGGCGAAGGCGACUCUCUGGUCAGUAACUGACGCUGAGGCGCGAAAGCGUGGGUAGCGAACAGGAUUAGAUACCCUGGUAGUCCACGCCGUAAACGAUGAGUGCUAGGUGUUAGGGGGUUUCCGCCCCUUAGUGCUGAAGUUAACGCAUUAAGCACUCCGCCUGGGGAGUACGGCCGCAAGGCUGAAACUCAAAAGAAUUGACGGGGGCCCGCACAAGCGGUGGAGCAUGUGGUUUAAUUCGAAGCAACGCGAAGAACCUUACCAGGUCUUCACAUCCUCUGACAGCCCUAGAGAUAGGGUGUUCCCUUCGGGGACAGAGUGACAGGUGGUGCAUGGUUGUCGUCAGCUCGUGUCGUGAGAUGUUGGGUUAAGUCCCGCAACGAUUGCCCCCCUUGAGAUUAGUUGCCAGCAUUAAGUUGGGCACUCUAAUCUGACUGCCGGUGACAAACCGGAGGAAGGUGGGGAUGACGUCAAAUCAUCAUGCCCCUUAUGACCUGGGCUACACACGUGCUACAAUGGAUGGUACAGAGGGCAGCGAAGCGGCGACGCAUUAGCAAAUCCCACAAAACCAUUCUCAGUUCGGAUUGCAGGCUGCAAUUCGCCUGCAUGAAGCCGGAAUCGCUAGUAAUCGCGGAUCAGCAUGCCGCGGUGAAUACGUUCCCGGGCCUUGUACACACCGCCCGU
RNAcentral lists this ribosomal RNA (1442 nucleotides) under uncultured bacterium. RNAcentral's name for it is "bacterial SSU rRNA". It matches the Rfam family "Bacterial small subunit ribosomal RNA". The record is from RNAcentral.